Molecule: long non-coding RNA, 151 nt
Organism: Melanotaenia boesemani (Boeseman's rainbowfish)
Lineage: Eukaryota; Metazoa; Chordata; Actinopteri; Atheriniformes; Melanotaeniidae
Exons: 3
Source: RefSeq, a predicted model, not a curated record
ACAGACUCAGGGUGGAGCCUGCUGGAGAACCAUGGUUGAGACCAGGAGGUGUGAGGAAGUAUUCCUGUCCACUCACCAUCCACAUGGACACAGUGCACAGAAAACUCAAACUGUCUGACAACAACAGGAAGGUGACAUAUGUGAAGGAGCU